This 411-nucleotide ribosomal RNA is filed under the name Actinomycetes bacterium. RNAcentral's name for it is "Actinobacteria bacterium partial 16S ribosomal RNA". It matches the Rfam family "Bacterial small subunit ribosomal RNA", at positions 355 to 776 of the family's 1533-position model. The record is from RNAcentral. Lineage: Bacteria; Bacillati; Actinomycetota; Actinomycetes.
UGGGGAAUAUUGCACAAUGGGCGCAAGCCUGAUGCAGCGACGCCGCGUGGGGGAUGACGGCCUUCGGGUUGUAAACUCCUUUCGCUAGGGACGAAGCUUUUUGUGACGGUAACUAGAUAAGAAGCACCGGCUAACUACGUGCCAGCAGCCGCGGUAAUACGUAGGGUGCGAGCGUUGUCCGGAAUUACUGGGCGUAAAGGGCUCGUAGGUGGUUUGUCGCGUCGUCUGUGAAAUUCCGGGGCUUAACUCCGGGCGUGCAGGCGAUACGGGCAUAACUUGAGUACUGUAGGGGUAACUGGAAUUCCUGGUGUAGCGGUGAAAUGCGCAGAUAUCAGGAGGAACACCGAUGGCGAAGGCAGGUUACUGGGCAGUUACUGACGCUGAGGAGCGAAAGCAUGGGUAGCGAACAGG